UGAUGCUACUCUUGGCUCCCAUCUCCAGGGUCUGGCAUGACCUGGGCACAUAGGAGAGUCUUCAUAAAGGAUUUUAAUGCAUGAAGAGAAAGGGUAGUUCCUUUGAGGUAGAGAUAGGGCAGCUGAUGUUUGAGAGUGGAGAGGGAUAAGGCUGGGCAAAUCACCCUCCCAUCUCCAGAGGGACAGUAGCCCCAACACUGGGAGAGCAGCAGCCCAAUUUGUCUAACUGCAGCUUCCACUGGCUGGGCUGAACUGGGCCUGGGUAGAAAAGCUCACACGCUGGGCCUGCAGACAGGGAGAAACCCAUUCAUUCCCCGAGGACAGAUGGGUGGGGAGAGGAGAGCAUUUCUGGCUGGGAAUAAGCUACCUGCUGGGAACCCAGGCACAAUGUCUGAUAAGAUCCAAGAGCAUAGACUCCUGUGGGAUGCCAGCUAGGCCUGGGGCCUGGGGAUCUUAGAGGCUUUUGUAUCAUCAUCAUAGGCGUGUCGGGGUGGCCAGGACCCCUGUUUUAUCCCAGGGCCCCCUCUUCUGCUCCAUCCGUUGCCAUUGACUCUACGCAGUUACUGUAGACAGGAUUUGUUGCUCUUUUGGCUUUGGGGAUUAUGGGCUGGAGAAGUACCAGCUGUUUUGUGGCAGGGCUAUGGGGCCAGUCAAACAAUGAGACCCAGAGACCAGCUGUAUGCCGAGUAUCCCCUGGGGACCCUGACCUGUCCCCAGCCCUGAGCUUCAGACCUCAACACCCAGAUGACUUCUAAGAAUUUGACUGUGGGGACCCCUGCAUGGCUGCAGCUCUGUGGAAAGGAGAGGAAGCCCCCAGCAGAACAGCCACCAACUUCCUGCCCAGCUUCCUCCUGUCGGGCUCUAGUCUCUUCUUCUCGGGACCCUGCAAGCAAAGGCAUGUCAGCUUGGUGGUUUCCUGUUUUGGGUGAAGUUUUGUGCGGUCUGGGCUCUGUAGAUCCAUGAACUUGGGUGCUACCACCUUGCUGCUGCUGUGCAGACAGCAGCAGGGUCUUGGGUGGAAAAUGGACGCGCCCUUGGGUGCUAGCCCUGGGGGCAAAAGAUGGGGUGGUGGUGAGACACAGCAGGGAACUGAGGAGGAAGAAGAGGAAGGAGCCCUACAGCCUGAAGGGCCAUAUUGGGUUCCUGGUACUAGCAGAAGACUACAGAGGGAAGUCUGUAUUUUGAGGAGGUAAUUCAUCCUUAGGAAAUCAAUCAGAAAUUUGGAGAGGGUGAUUUAUCUAUGUCUGGAGGGUCUCUACCUAUCUCCGAUGAAGCUCUCCCUGGGACUCGGAUGGGUGGGACCAGUAGGAAAGGUUUCCGAUACAGCAGGGGCUUCUUGACAACUGGUAGCUGUUGUUGGACCAAGACGGCCCUGCAGGAGUACUGUAGUGUGCCUUGGACCAACUUCUCAAAAGAGCAGUCCUGGGGCUACCCUACUUCUGCUUGGAAGAGACGGAGAGAGAGGCUGGGAAGGGGCUCCUUCGAGAACUGCUCCCUGGAGAAAGGGCUUGGAGGAGGCAGCUAGGCUAAGGGUGCUGAGGGCGCUUUGUCUCUCCUAACCUGGACACUGUUAGGAAAAGGCUUUCCCGGGUGUGAGCUGCAGCCCUGCCCCAGCGCUGAACCUGCCAUGGUGGGAGCUGAACUAAAAAUUUCUCAGGGAACUAAAUUAGGCAAAAGAGGAACUGGGGGAGGGGGUACCAAGCAGGAUGGGGGAUGGGGUGCAAAGGCUCCUGAAAACAGAAAGCCCAGCUGAGUUCCAGUCCCAGACCACAGAGGAUAUGGGCCAUCUGGCUUGUGCCCUGCAUGCUCACUGCUUUGCCCUGGCAUUUUCCUUCCUCACAAUGAAUGUGAGUCCUGGGAGGGUGAGGACUAAUGCCAGCCUGGGGAGCUGAUAGUUGACACAGUCCUUGGGUAACUGGGUUGAACCAGGACCUCAGGAUUCCACUCUGGGGAUUUAGCUUUGUGUGGAUCUUUGAGGAUCUCCAUAUUGGCAUUAUUGCCACAGGAUAAAUAUUUCACUGGGCUUCACUGUUCUGAUCUGUUGGGUGUGGCUUCCUGGAAAAUACAGUGAGAGGAAUUCUGAUAAGGAUACAGCUGAUAAGGAAGUGCUGAGAUUGAUUAAUAAUGCCUGCCUUGGACUUGGGAAGAGGAAGUGGCCGAAUGGAUGCCAUAUCUUAAUCUUGUUAAAAUAUGCUGCCCAGAAGAUUUCCACAUGUGUAUGAAGUAUGCACGUGUAUAUGUUUUACUGUGUGCCUAUGGAAACCAGAAAUCAUCACUGGGUGUCUUCCUCAUUUCCUUUGCAAUGUCUUUUUUUUUUUAAGGAUUUAUUUACUUCAUGAAUGUUUUGCCCGAAUGCACGCGUAAGUGUCAUGUGCGUGCCAGUUGGAAGGACUGGAACUGGAGUCAUAGGUGGUUAUGAGCUACCAUUUGAGUGCCGGGAAUCAAACCCAGGUCUUCUGCAAGAGCAACAGAUUAAAAGAUAGCUCUUAGCUGCUCGACUUUCCAGCCCCACCAUCGAGCAUUCUUAGCGUUUAAAAUCUCAUGUGCAUGUUUUUGCUUGUUUGUUCGAUUUUGCCUGCAUGUCUCUGAGCGUCCCCACGUGAGUGCCUGGCACUGUGGAGGCCAUGGGGGGGGGGGCACUGAGUCACGUGGGAAUGGAGGUAUAGAUUGUUGUGAGUUGGCAUGUGGACGGAGUCAACGUGGAUCCUCUGGGAGUCGAGCAAGAGCUCCCAACUGCUGGGCUGUCUCGUUAGUGUUCCACUUUAUUUUUGGCAGACCCUGCAGUGAAUCUGGAGCUCAGCACUAGGCUGAGCAUCGAGCUCUGGGGAUCUGCCUGUCUCUGCCCCACCCCACCCCCAACUGCUGGGGUUAUCGACUGCAUCCAGCCUGUGGAUGCUGAGAAUCUGAACACAGAUACGUGCGUGGUGAGCACUGUAUCUUCCGAGCCCUGCCCACCCCUAAACAAGAGUCUUUACCGUUCCCAUGUAAUGCAGAAAGAAAUGAUGGUUCUGAAAGGCUCAUGCUUUGUGACUGGUGGAAUGUAUGUUGCCUCUCCUGCCCCUUUCCCGUCAAUGAACCAAAGAGCCUUCUCAUCCAUUGAUCUGCCAUUGCCUUCAACUUGUACACGCCAGGCCGCGGAGAGAUGAACUUGACCUCACAAGUUUGCAAUUCCAGUUCACUCCACACCAGGAAUAAACUCUUAUUUAUGCUC
RNAcentral lists this long non-coding RNA (3211 nucleotides) under Rattus norvegicus (Norway rat). RNAcentral's name for it is "long non-coding RNA NONRATT017386". The record is from RNAcentral. Lineage: Eukaryota; Metazoa; Chordata; Mammalia; Rodentia; Muridae.